Molecule: ribosomal RNA, 672 nt
Filed under: uncultured bacterium
Lineage: Bacteria
Description: bacterial SSU rRNA
Rfam family: Bacterial small subunit ribosomal RNA
Source: RNAcentral
CGGGUCUUAAUNGACUUGGUAACGCAGCUAACGCGUGAAGUAGACCGCCUGGGGAGUACGGUCGCAAGAUUAAAACUCAAAGGAAUUGACGGGGACCCGCACAAGCGGUGGAUGAUGUGGAUUAAUUCGAUGCAACGCGAAAAACCUUACCUACCCUUGACAUGGCAGAAAUCCUCGAGAGAUUGAGGAGUGCUCGAAAGAGAAUCUGCACACAGGUGCUGCAUGGCUGUCGUCAGCUCGUGUCGUGAGAUGUUGGGUUAAGUCCCGCAACGAGCGCAACCCUUGUCAUUAGUUGCUACGCAAGAGCACUCUAAUGAGACUGCCGGUGACAAACCGGAGGAAGGUGGGGAUGACGUCAAGUCCUCAUGGCCCUUAUGGGUAGGGCUUCACACGUCAUACAAUGGUACAUACAGAGCGCCGCCAACCCGCGGGGGGGAGCUAAUCGCAGAAAGUGUAUCGUAGUCCGGAUUGUAGUCUGCAACUCGACUGCAUGAAGUUGGAAUCGCUAGUAAUCGCGGAUCAGCAUGUCGCGGUGAAUACGUUCCCGGGUCUUGUACACACCGCCCGUCACACCAUGGGAGCGGGUUUUACCAGAAGUAGGUAGCUUAACCGCAAGGGGGGCGCUUACCACGGUAGGAUUCGUGACUGGGGUGAAGUCGUAANCAAGGUACC